AGUGUGCGAAGUCAAAUGGCUGUCGUAUUACUCGAAGCGUACUUCUUUUGAGAAUUUCUUCAGAAAAUCUGCAGAACGUAAAUUUCUGAUCCUAUCUGGCAUUGUCUCACGGCGUCAUUGUCGAAUAGAAAGAGGGAAAAGGAAAGAGAGAACGAGGUGGGUGACGACGGUGCGAACUAUCACAGGUCGCUGGAUAAUUUCUACCUUUCUCGCCAUACGUCUUCAUUAAGAAGUUAUAUUCGUGGUGCGUGCGUUUAAUGGUUUUAGAAAAUCCCAGAGGAGUCGAACUGUUACUACUACCAUUACUACUAC
Vespula pensylvanica (western yellowjacket) is the source of this 312-nucleotide long non-coding RNA. RefSeq lists it as uncharacterized. Lineage: Eukaryota; Metazoa; Arthropoda; Insecta; Hymenoptera; Vespidae. The record is from RefSeq and is a predicted model, not a curated record. The transcript is spliced from 3 exons.